RNAcentral lists this ribosomal RNA (253 nucleotides) under uncultured bacterium. RNAcentral's name for it is "partial 16S ribosomal RNA". It matches the Rfam family "Bacterial small subunit ribosomal RNA", at positions 524 to 776 of the family's 1533-position model. The record is from RNAcentral.
UACGAAGGGUGCGAGCGUUAUUCGGAAUCACUGGGCGUAAAGGGUGCGUAGGUGGUCGGGUAAGUCUGAUGUGAAAUCUCCGAGCUCAACUCGGAAAUGGCAUUGGAUACUAUUCGGCUGGAGGGUUGGAGGGGGGACUGGAAUACUUGGUGUAGCAGUGAAAUGCGUAGAUAUCAAGUGGAACACCAGUGGCGAAGGCGAGUCCCUGGACAACUCCUGACACUGAGGCACGAAAGCUAGGGGAGCAAACAGG